This 18-nucleotide ribosomal RNA is filed under the name Musa balbisiana (Balbis banana). RNAcentral describes it as "partial 18S ribosomal RNA". Lineage: Eukaryota; Viridiplantae; Streptophyta; Magnoliopsida; Zingiberales; Musaceae. The record is from RNAcentral.
UCUUGACGAGACCCAUUG